Molecule: long non-coding RNA, 1625 nt
Filed under: Sus scrofa (pig)
Lineage: Eukaryota; Metazoa; Chordata; Mammalia; Artiodactyla; Suidae
Description: lncRNA (ENSSSCG00045005015.1)
Source: RNAcentral
UUUGCUUGCAGAAAUAGAACUGUAUUUCGAGGAAAUCAAUCAAUCUGCAGGAAACAAAAAUGGAAGUCGAGGUUUGGGAAGAGUUGUCACUUCCCCGACUCGAGUGGUGCGGGCCAGGGGCGGAGACUUGGGGCCGCGGAGAGGCCCUUUCUCCCACCUCAGCUCGUUCCCAGACUUCCAGAAGGGAGAAGUACCCUCCUCACCCCUCUUCUUCCCCACACCCGUCCUCGCUCGCCCGCCGGCCCCUUUCCGCACCUCCUUCUCCCCUCAAGUGAGAAAAGCCUAGUUCCCGAGCCGGUGUACGCGGUUGCUUUACCCCUCCCCGCUCCCACGCGGGUGCCCCCUCCAGCCAUCGCUACUGCCACCACCUCGGUUCCACUCAAUCGAUUUUUGCUGCAUGUCAACACUUAUUCCCGAAAAUGGCCCGCUGAUGAUGUGACCCAGUGUACCAGGACUAAGGCUUGGGGUGGUUUCCUUAGAAUUCCAAGACUCCUUCUACCAAUGCCUCCUCUGACCAGAAGCAGCAAAGUCUUUCUGCCUCCAUCAACAGUUUGCAGCGGCACCGGACCCCCUGCACGCAGUCCUGGGCUGGAUCCUUUAUCCUUGUCCCUCUGGGGAGAUGAGACCAAGAGCCGCUUCCACUGUCCCAGAGAAGACAGUGGAGCAGAUACGGACGGAAUGUGACUUGGAACCCCGGCGCAGGAGGGGGGAGAGCCGAUGGGGACGACCCUGCAGGCCGUCCUGAGCGCCACAGACGGGGAUUUACCUGCCGAGUCCAAGGCGACAGACAACAGAUCACUUUGUUAGAGAAUAAGAUAAUAUCAAACAAAAGAAAGUAAAAUAAAACCCUUCUUAUGAGGGCGCUGGGCCUCGGGCGAUGUUCAUUCCCAGGGUUCUACAGACCUCAAUGCCUCCACCCCCGCCUAAAAUCCGCGAAAUCGCAGGAGCCAGUCUUAUCUGCCGAGGCAGGGCCUUGUUUGUCAUUUCUCUGACAGGGGGGAAAAAAAUCCCUCCUGCAAAUUCUGGGCGCGCAGCUUCCCUCCCCAGCUGGUGACCCUCCUUCCCCCGUGCAGCUCCGCCGGCCUCUCAGCUGCCCUUCGUCAGGAGAUAGCAGCCUGGACAGCGAACCGGGACCUUCUGGACCCCCGGGUUUAGCCGGGCCACGCGACCCAGCCCUUAGAAGGACCUGAGGUGCCGCGGCUCCGCCUGACGUGCCCCCAAGGGCGGCCUCGCCUUGGGUCUCCCUGGCCGCCCGCACGGCACAGGCACGACCGUGUCCUACGCUGUCUACUGACCACAACAGCUGCUUUAUCUUAAUGUUCCUUCUUGGCCGGCGACGUGGGAGAAGCGCGGUGGCAAGACGUGCCGCCUCGCAUUACCCUGACGGUAUUUUCAGAGGCACCCGGAGAAGCGGCGGCCCAGGGGGCAACCUACGCACCUCCGGGGACUCCUCUCGGGUCCCGACGCUGGUGUUUGCACGUCCCUCCGGACAACAGCACUGAAAUCUAAUCCGCAGCUGCCGCCGAGCGCCCACCUCCCGCCUUCCCCGGCGCCCCCAGCCCGCGCGGCCCGGGACCUGCAUCCGAGCCCGGCGGCCGGGGCUGCACAGCCCGCCCUCCGCGUCC